This 497-nucleotide ribosomal RNA is filed under the name uncultured bacterium. Its description in RNAcentral is "partial 16S ribosomal RNA". It matches the Rfam family "Bacterial small subunit ribosomal RNA", at positions 28 to 507 of the family's 1533-position model. The record is from RNAcentral.
GAUGAACGCUGGCGGCGUGCCUAAUACAUGCAAGUCGAGCGAACGGACGAGAAGCUUGCUUCUCUGAUGUUAGCGGCGGACGGGUGAGUAACACGUGGAUAACCUACCUAUAAGACUGGGAUAACUUCGGGAAACCGGAGCUAAUACCGGAUAAUAUUUUGAACCGCAUGGUUCAAAGGUGAAAGACGGUCUUGCUGUCACUUAUAGAUGGAUCCGCGCUGCAUUAGCUAGUUGGUAAGGUAACGGCUUACCAAGGCAACGAUGCAUAACCGACCUGAGAGGGUGAUCGGCCACACUGGAACUGAGACACGGUCCAGACUCCUACGGGAGGCAGCAGUAGGGAAUCUUCCGCAAUGGGCGAAAGCCUGACGGAGCAACGCCGCGUGAGUGAUGAAGGUCUUCGGAUCGUAAAACUCUGUUAUUAGGGAAGAACAUAUGUGUAAGUAACUGUGCACAUCUUGACGGUACCUAAUCAGAAAGCCACGGCUAACUACGUG